GAUGAACGCUAGCGGCAGGCUUAACACAUGCAAGUCGAGGGGUAGAAGGAGCUUGCUCCUUUGAGACCGGCGCACGGGUGCGUAACGCGUAUGCAAUCUACCUUUUGCAGAGGAUAGCCCAGAGAAAUUUGGAUUAAUACCUCAUAGUAUGUGAGGAUGGCAUCAUUUUCACAUUAAAGUCACAACGGCAAAAGAUGAGCAUGCGUCCCAUUAGCUAGUUGGUAAGGUAACGGCUUACCAAGGCUACGAUGGGUAGGGGUCCUGGGAGGGAGAUCCCCCACACUGGUACUGAGACACGGACCAGACUCCUACGGGAGGCAGCAGUGAGGAAUAUUGGACAAUGGGCGCAAGCCUGAUCCAGCCAUGCCGCGUGCA
Molecule: ribosomal RNA, 375 nt
Filed under: uncultured bacterium
Lineage: Bacteria
Description: bacterial SSU rRNA
Rfam family: Bacterial small subunit ribosomal RNA
Source: RNAcentral